GUCGGUGUAGUAUAGUGGUUAGUACUUCUCGUUGUGGUUUCUAGGCAACUAGAUAAUGAUUCCGAGAGGACCCAUGUUCGAUUCAUGGCACCGACA
This 96-nucleotide transfer RNA is filed under the name Morchella conica CCBAS932. RNAcentral describes it as "tRNA-His". It matches the Rfam family "tRNA". From Rfam's summary of the family: Transfer RNA (tRNA) molecules are approximately 80 nucleotides in length. The record is from RNAcentral. Lineage: Eukaryota; Fungi; Ascomycota; Pezizomycetes; Pezizales; Morchellaceae.